ACGUAUGGAGCAAGCGUUAUCCGGAUUUACUGGGUGUAAAGGGAGCGUAGACGGCUUAGCAAGUCUGAUGUGAAAGGCUGGGGCUCAACCCCGGGACUGCAUUGGAAACUGUUAAGCUAGAGUGCCGGAGAGGUAAGCGGAAUUCCUAGUGUAGCGGUGAAAUGCGUAGAUAUUAGGAGGAACACCAGUGGCGAAGGCGGCUUACUGGACGGUAACUGACGUUGAGGCUCGAAAGCGUGGGGAGCAAACAG
RNAcentral lists this ribosomal RNA (251 nucleotides) under uncultured bacterium. RNAcentral describes it as "partial 16S ribosomal RNA". It matches the Rfam family "Bacterial small subunit ribosomal RNA", at positions 525 to 775 of the family's 1533-position model. The record is from RNAcentral.